Molecule: long non-coding RNA, 1843 nt
Filed under: Daphnia magna
Lineage: Eukaryota; Metazoa; Arthropoda; Branchiopoda; Diplostraca; Daphniidae
Description: uncharacterized LOC123471003, transcript variant X2
Source: RNAcentral
GCGGCAACUGGAACUCGGAAGCCAGCAACAUCCUGGAAGAAACCGACAGCCUGAAUCUCAAAGAAGCCAGGUAAAUUGGACACAAAGAAACACGUGGUAAUAGCACUUCCUCGCAAAAAAUUGAAAAGGGAAAGGAAUAUGAUGAAGGAACCAGACAUUCAUGCCUUGUUGUUAGUGGAUGUUCAAGUUUUCCUCCAGUCUGUUGGGCUAGAGGAAAGGGAUUAUUUACUGAACUACAGGUCUAAAGAAAUUGAGAAUCUGCCUAAAAGAUUACUGCACCACACCAAGUGAUGUGGAACAACAUCCAUAGUGCAUGGGUUGCAGAAGAGGUAGGCCUAAUCAGGAUUGGGAGCGUCAUAACAAAGCUUUGUUUGUAUCGGAAACAAUACACUGGAUGCAUACCUCAUUAGUGGAGCUGUACAAGUGGGGUGAUGACAGAGGCAUUGAAAAAUUCCUGCAUUAUUUUUAGAUCGAUCAGUACUGUCAUGGGAUCGAAAAAUUUUACUUCAAUAUCCGAAAGUCGUAGGAAAAGAAUGGUAAAAUAAUUAACGUUUCACCAUAGGAAAAUCCACAUCCAUCCACGCCGCUGGAUAAGACAUCCAUUGUGCCUUUACGUGCUACGUAUCGUGUUUUUGUCUGUGGAAAGCGACAUCUUCCUACCACAAUCUAGUGGGAAUUGCUGAUCUCACCAAUUUAUGAAGUCGUCAAUUGGACAAAGUCAUCAUUCUUUUUUACCUAAUUUUUAUUCUUAAAACCACGCUUCACAUCGUAAUGUGGACACGGAAUAAUACCUCCUCCCGCACAGUAGUUUUUUUCCAAUUAAAACGGUCAUUUGAUUUUAACCAAUUCAUCAGCUACAUUUUUUUGGGGCAACAAUACUUUUUUGUGCCCAUGGCACAACAUUUGCCGUCUCCACAACGGUCGGAUGUAACGGUUUUGUAAACCUUCGAAUUGCAGUAUCCUUGGCAGAAAGGUGCCGAUCCAUUCCAAAAGCACCCGGGCUGUCGUUCCUUAGCAUCAACUUCCGUUCGAAUUGUUUUACCAGCCGAGAUUUUAGGAUUUUUCACCUUUCAAAAUUUUGAAGUGCAACAUGUAAAGUAACAAAGAAUGUUGAAACGCAACGGUUAUUUUGAGUUUAAAUAUUUUAAAGAAAUGUAUCAAGUUUCUUACGUAGUUGUCUUCCAAUUGCAGAUCCAGCUGCUCGUCCGCGUUAAGGGCUAAUGCACUCGGUCAUGUGAAACAUAGAGCCAAGAUGACCAAUAUACCUAAAUGGAUUCCGUAAAAAUGAGCCAUGUUUUUAAUUAAACCUACUGCGUUUCUUUCUCGAAUGCAGAACGUACUGUGUCCUGCCGUUAACGAUUUACCCCGUUUUUAUAGGCGGAUGGAAGCCAUACAUUUGAUAGCUGUAGCCUAACCAUACCGGUACUACGCAUUAUUCUUGUUAAAUCGAGCCACCAUUUAAUAUUUCAACACGUGUCCUACACGUGAAGCAAAUAGAUGGUUACUUUUUAGAUUUUUUUAUUAUUAUUCCUUUUUGCUUUUGGAAUUUGCGAUGUGGGUGUGCUGCCAAAAGCAUACAGGAUUCCGCUUAUAUGACUAUUUGAAUUAGGAAAUAUGUGGCAGCAGUUGCAAUGCGCAAAUCUUUGCUUUGGAAUAUACUACAUGAACUCAUUGCCGUCAACUCGUGUCGGAACUCACCUAUGCAGCACUUAGCACUCACAUUUGCAGCGAACAACAUGUAUUUACAUUUCAUCGGAAAUGAACCUUCUGUCAUUUGCUUGUAUAGCUGCUCGCUACAUGCUUUCCAUAGCACUUACUGAUUUACACGUCUGCUUUCCUUUUA